UUUGUAAAUCUCCAGAUAAAGCCUGAAGCUUAACUCCAGAAAGUCUGAAGAGACUGCAAGACUUGAGAUCGGGUGAGGUUAAACGUACUUUCAGGGUAGGGGUAAAAUCCUGUAAUCCCGGAAGGACGACCAGUGGCGAAAGCGUUUAACUAGAACGAAUCUGACGGUAAGGAACGAAGGCUAGGGUAGCAAACCGGAUUAGAUACCCGGGUAGUCCUAGCUGUAAACAUUGCCCAUUUGAUGUUGCUUUCCCGUUGAGGGAAGGCAGUGUCGGAGCGAAGGUGUUAAAUGGGCCGCUUGGGAAGUAUGGUCGCAAGACUGAAACUUAAAGGAAUUGGCGGGGGAGCACCGCAACGGGAGGAAUGUGCGGUUUAAUUGGAUUCAACGCCGGAAAACUCACCGGGAACGACCUGUGCAUGAGAGUCAACUUGACGAGCUUACUCGAUAGCAGGAGAGGUGGUGCAUGGCCGUCGUCAGCUCGUACCGUAGGGCGUUCACUUAAGUGUGAUAACGAGCGAGACCCACAUCCUUAAUUGCAAAUGUAUAUGGGAAUAUGCAUGCACUUUAGAGAAACCGCCAGCGCUAAGCUGGAGGAAGGAGUGGUCGACGGCAGGUCAGUACGCCCCGAAUUUCCCGGGCUACACGCGCAUUACAAAGAACGGGACAAUACGUUGCAACCUCGAAAGAGGGAGCCAAUCGCGAAACCCGUCCAUAGUUAGGAUUGAGGGCUGUAACUCGCCCUCAUGAAUUCUGGAUUCCGUAGUAAUCGCGGGUCAA
RNAcentral lists this ribosomal RNA (777 nucleotides) under uncultured bacterium. Its description in RNAcentral is "bacterial SSU rRNA". It matches the Rfam family "Archaeal small subunit ribosomal RNA", at positions 530 to 1308 of the family's 1478-position model. The record is from RNAcentral.